AUGGCAUCGCUCUCGUCCCUUACGUCUCUCACCUAUCUAAGCAUACAAGAUUGUAAGAAUUUCAAAGUGGAUGGGUUUAAUCUUCUCAUGGCUUCCAACCACAAGGUUUUGGCGGUCCACAACAUAAUUGAAAAUUACCCUCGCUCUGUAGCCGCGGAUCUUCUCUCGGAAUUGGCGGUGGAAAUAACAAGGAGUAAAAAGUUAUUACCACCUACAGCUGGCUCUUUACUCCAGUUGGAAAGACUUGAUGUGGAUAGCAUCUCAGUUGUGCUUGUUGCUCCAGUUUGUCGACUACUCGCCGCUACCCUGAAGGAGUUAGUGAUCACGUGUGAUCGAGAGGUGGAGAACCUCACGAAAGAUGAAGAGAAAGCGCUUCAGCUCCUCACCUCACUCCAAGAACUAAUUUUUUGGAGGUGCCGGCGUCUGCGGUCCUUCCCUCAAGGGUUACACGACCUUCCUUCUCUCAGGACACUAGAAGCCAUCAGCUGUCGAAAAAUCCGACCGCUGCCCAAGAAGGGAUUCCCCACUUCUCUGCGGGAGCUAUCAAUAAAUGAAUGCAGUCGCAAGCUACACAAUCAAGCCAAGAAACUAAAUCGAAGAAAUUUGUCUGUAAGCUCCUAG
This 621-nucleotide ribosomal RNA is filed under the name Triticum aestivum (bread wheat). Its description in RNAcentral is "partial small subunit ribosomal RNA". Lineage: Eukaryota; Viridiplantae; Streptophyta; Magnoliopsida; Poales; Poaceae. The record is from RNAcentral.